Long non-coding RNA from Neomonachus schauinslandi (Hawaiian monk seal), 234 nucleotides. RefSeq lists it as uncharacterized. The transcript is spliced from 3 exons. NCBI's taxonomy places the organism in Eukaryota, Metazoa, Chordata, Mammalia, Carnivora, Phocidae. The record is from RefSeq and is a predicted model, not a curated record.
CUUGGAGUUAGGUGCGGACAUAUGAAUUGGUUUGGCCAAUAAAAUUACGAAGCAACGUGGCUGCUCUGUCUGCUUGGGUGCCAGACUGAGGAAAGAGCAGAGGAGAGCUCCACUGAUCUGCAGUGAAUAUAAACUGAGAAUUAUCUUAAGUACCUGAGAAUUGGGGCUUGAUUGUCACUGCAGCACAACUUAGCCUAUGUAUCUUUCAUGGACUGUACACGGAUGGGCCAGGGA